RNAcentral lists this long non-coding RNA (233 nucleotides) under Mytilus galloprovincialis (Mediterranean mussel). The record is from RNAcentral. Lineage: Eukaryota; Metazoa; Mollusca; Bivalvia; Mytilida; Mytilidae.
UUUGCCAACAGGUGAUAAUAAAAUUGACAAGUUUGUGGAAUGUGGAAGGUUACCGAAGGAGAUUUCGCUUAACAACAUUUAUUUAUUUUUUAAUCAUUAGAGAAAAAGAUUCUCGCAUAGUAGCUCGUGGGUUUUCUGAUUUUAUCUUGCCGAUAUCGGACUUUAAAAUUGAAAAUUAAACUGUCGCAGACAUUUGUACCCACGUUACUUGCGUUUUUGAUUGAUAACCGGAC